CUCGUUGACAUGACUACAUCUGAUCCUUCCCUGGCCUCCGAGAUCUCCGCCGCUGCGUCUGCCAAAAAUUGCCACUCCAUUGACGCCCCCGUCUCCGGCGGCGACCGCGGUGCCAAGAACGGAACCCUGGCAAUAUUCGCCGGAGGGGAUGAAGGAGUCAUCCAUCGGCUGAAUCCCCUGUUUGCCCUCAUGGGAAAGGUUAAUUAUAUGGGUGCCCCUGGCAAAGGCCAAUUUGCGAAGCUAGCAAACCAAAUAACCAUAGCUUCUACAAUGGUUGGCUUAGUGGAGGGGAUCGUUUACGCAUA
This 305-nucleotide unclassified non-coding RNA is filed under the name Hevea brasiliensis (rubber tree). Lineage: Eukaryota; Viridiplantae; Streptophyta; Magnoliopsida; Malpighiales; Euphorbiaceae. The record is from RNAcentral.